AUACAUACAUGCACACACACACACAUACGUAUAUAUAUAUGUAUACAUAUAAAUGUAUAUGUGUGUGUGU
This is a non-coding RNA of Podarcis lilfordi (Lilford's wall lizard), 70 nucleotides long. NCBI's taxonomy places the organism in Eukaryota, Metazoa, Chordata, Lepidosauria, Squamata, Lacertidae. The record is from the annotation of a GenBank genome assembly.